This 428-nucleotide ribosomal RNA is filed under the name uncultured bacterium. RNAcentral's name for it is "bacterial SSU rRNA". It matches the Rfam family "Bacterial small subunit ribosomal RNA", at positions 355 to 774 of the family's 1533-position model. The record is from RNAcentral.
UGGGGAAUUUUGGACAAUGGGCGCAAGCCUGAUCCAGCAAUGCCGCGUGCAGGAUGAAGGCCUUCGGGUUGUAAACCGCUUUUGUCAGGGAAGAAACGAGUUUCUCUAAUACAGAGACUUAAUGACGGUACUUGAAGAAUAAGCACCGGCUAACUACGUGCCAGCAGCCGCGGUAAUACGUAGGGUGCAAGCGUUAAUCGGAAUUACUGGGCGUAAAGCGUGCGCAGGCGGUUAUGCAAGACAGAGGUGAAAUCCCCGGGCUCAACCUGGGAACUGCAUUUGUGACUGCACAGCUGGAGUGCGGCAGGGGGGGGAUGGAAUUCCGCGUGUAGCAGUGAAAUGCGUAGAUAUGCGGAGGAACACCGAUGGCGAAGGCAAUCCCCUGGGCCUGCACUGACGCUCAUGCACGUAAGCGUGGGGAGCAAACA